This 425-nucleotide ribosomal RNA is filed under the name uncultured bacterium. RNAcentral describes it as "bacterial SSU rRNA". It matches the Rfam family "Bacterial small subunit ribosomal RNA", at positions 356 to 773 of the family's 1533-position model. The record is from RNAcentral.
GGGGAAUUUUGGACAAUGGGGGAAACCCUGAUCCAGCCAUCCCGCGUGUGCGAUGAAGGCCUUCGGGUUGUAAAGCACUUUUGGCAGGAAAGAAACGUCAUGGGUUAAUACCCCGUGAAACUGACGGUACCUGCAGAAUAAGCACCGGCUAACUACGUGCCAGCAGCCGCGGUAAUACGUAGGGUGCAAGCGUUAAUCGGAAUUACUGGGCGUAAAGCGUGCGCAGGCGGUUCGGAAAGAAAGAUGUGAAAUCCCAGAGCUUAACUUUGGAACUGCAUUUUUAACUACCGGGCUAGAGUGUGUCAGAGGGAGGUGGAAUUCCGCGUGUAGCAGUGAAAUGCGUAGAUAUGCGGAGGAACACCGAUGGCGAAGGCAGCCUCCUGGGAUAACACUGACGCUCAUGCACGAAAGCGUGGGGAGCAAAC